GACGAACGCUGGCGGCGUGCCUAAUACAUGCAAGUAGAACGCUGAAGGAGGAGCUUGCUUCUCUGGAUGAGUUGCGAACGGGUGAGUAACGCGUAGGUAACCUGCCUGGUAGCGGGGGAUAACUAUUGGAAACGAUAGCUAAUACCGCAUAAUAGUAGAUGUCGCAUGACAUUUGCUUAAAAGGUGCAAUUGCAUCACUACCAGAUGGACCUGCGUUGUAUUAGCUAGUUGGUGAGGUAACGGCUCACCAAGGCAACGAUACAUAGCCGACCUGGGAAGGUGGUCGGCCACACUGGGACUGGGACACGGCCCAGGCUCCUAACGGAAGCAGCAGUAGGGAAUCUUCGGCAAUGGACGGAAGUCUGACCGAGCAACGCCGCGUGAGGGAAGGAGGUUUUCGGAUCGUAAAGCUCUGUUGUAAGGGGAGAACGAGUGUGAGAGUGGAAAGUUCACACUGUGACGGUAUCUUACCAGAAAGCGACGGCUAACUACGUG
RNAcentral lists this ribosomal RNA (495 nucleotides) under uncultured bacterium. RNAcentral describes it as "partial 16S ribosomal RNA". It matches the Rfam family "Bacterial small subunit ribosomal RNA", at positions 28 to 507 of the family's 1533-position model. The record is from RNAcentral.